RNAcentral lists this transfer RNA (67 nucleotides) under Marmota monax (woodchuck). It matches the Rfam family "tRNA". From Rfam's summary of the family: Transfer RNA (tRNA) molecules are approximately 80 nucleotides in length. Their secondary structure includes four short double-helical elements and three loops (D, anti-codon, and T loops). Further hydrogen bonds mediate the characteristic L-shaped molecular structure. tRNAs have two regions of fundamental functional importance: the anti-codon, which is responsible for specific mRNA codon recognition, and the 3' end, to which the tRNAs corresponding amino acid is attached (by aminoacyl-tRNA synthetases). tRNAs cope with the degeneracy of the genetic code in two manners: having more than one tRNA (with a specific anti-codon) for a particular amino acid; and 'wobble' base-pairing, i.e. permitting non-standard base-pairing at the 3rd anti-codon position. Lineage: Eukaryota; Metazoa; Chordata; Mammalia; Rodentia; Sciuridae. RNAcentral also lists the same sequence under 4 other names. The record is from Rfam by way of RNAcentral.
GGUUGUAGCUCAGUGGUAGAGCACUUGCCUAGCAUGUGUGAGGCACUGGGUUCAAUUCUCAGCACCA